GACUACGUUUUCUCUUUAUCCUUAUCUGUUCUGGUUGUCAGCUUCCUGUUUACUGUGUACCAGACCCCGGCUAGUCCUAGUUUACACUGUCUCUCUGUGUCCUUGACUUCGGAUCGUUCCUGACUCUGCCUCCUCUUAUAUACGUCGAGUCCGGCCAUUCUAAGGUCCGGUAGACGUAUCUCUCCUCUGUGUUGUCUUCUGUUUAGCCGAAUCCUGCGUGUUGGGGUAUAUUCU
Non-coding RNA from Pelobates cultripes (western spadefoot toad), 234 nucleotides. Lineage: Eukaryota; Metazoa; Chordata; Amphibia; Anura; Pelobatidae. The record is from the annotation of a GenBank genome assembly.